RNAcentral lists this ribosomal RNA (118 nucleotides) under Carlito syrichta (Philippine tarsier). The record is from RNAcentral. Lineage: Eukaryota; Metazoa; Chordata; Mammalia; Primates; Tarsiidae.
GUCUUCAGCCAUGCCACCCUGAACGUGCCUAACCUCAUCUGAUCUUGUAAGCUAAGCAGGGUUGGACCGGGUUAGUACUUGGAUGGGUGACUUUCUGGAAUACCAGGUGCUAUAAAUU